This 404-nucleotide ribosomal RNA is filed under the name uncultured prokaryote. Its description in RNAcentral is "bacterial SSU rRNA". It matches the Rfam family "Bacterial small subunit ribosomal RNA", at positions 355 to 774 of the family's 1533-position model. The record is from RNAcentral.
UGAGGAAUAUUGGUCAAUGGGCGAAAGCCUGAACCAGCAACGCCGCGUGAGGGAUGAAGGCCUUCGGGUCGUAAACCUCUUUUCUGGGAGAAGAGACAAGGACGGUAUCCCAGGAAUAAGUCUCGGCUAACUACGUGCCAGCAGCCGCGGUAAAACGUAGGAGGCAAGCGUUAUCCGGAUUUACUGGGCGUAAAGCGCACGCAGGCGGCGGCGUAAGUCGGACGUGAAAGCUCCUGGCUCAACUGGGAGAGGUCGUUCGAAACUGCGCGGCUUGAGGUUGGAAGAGGAGAGCGGAAUUCCCGGUGUAGUGGUGGAAUGCGUAGAUAUCGGGAGGAACACCAGUGGCGAAAGCGGCUCUCUGGUCCACACCUGACGCUCAGGUGCGAAAGCGUGGGUAGCGAACG